This 586-nucleotide ribosomal RNA is filed under the name uncultured bacterium. RNAcentral's name for it is "bacterial SSU rRNA". It matches the Rfam family "Bacterial small subunit ribosomal RNA", at positions 102 to 683 of the family's 1533-position model. The record is from RNAcentral.
ACGGGUGAGUAAUGCUUAGGAAUCUGCCUAUUAGUGGGGGACAACAUCUCGAAAGGGAUGCUAAUACCGCAUACGUCCUACGGGAGAAAGCAGGGGACCUUCGGGCCUUGCGCUAAUAGAUGGGCCUAAGUCGGAUUAGCUAGUUGGUGGGGUAAAGGCCUACCAAGGCGACGAUCUGUAGCGGGUCUGAGAGGAUGAUCCGCCACACUGGGACUGAGACACGGCCCAGACUCCUACGGGAGGCAGCAGUGGGGAAUAUUGGACAAUGGGGGGAACCCUGAUCCAGCCAUGCCGCGUGUGUGAAGAAGGCCUUUUGGUUGUAAAGCACUUUAAGCGAGGAGGAGGCUACCGAGAUUAAUACUCUUGGAUAGUGGACGUUACUCGCAGAAUAAGCACCGGCUAACUCUGUGCCAGCAGCCGCGGUAAUACAGAGGGUGCAAGCGUUAAUCGGAUUUACUGGGCGUAAAGCGCGCGUAGGUGGCCAAUUAAGUCAAAUGUGAAAUCCCCGAGCUUAACUUGGGAAUUGCAUUCGAUACUGGUUGGCUAGAGUAUGGGAGAGGAUGGUAGAAUUCCAGGUGUAGCGGUG